GUAGGGAAUAUUGCAAAUGGGCGAAAGCCUGAUGUAGCAACGCCGCGUGUGCGAUGAAGGUCUUCGGAUUGUAAAGCACUUUUUGGAGGGAUGAGGAGGACAGUACUUCCAGAAUAAGCCUCGGCUAACUACGUGCCAGCAGCCGCGGUAACACGUAGGAGGCAAGCGUUAUUCGGAUUUACUGGGCGUAAAGCGCGUGCAGGCGGUUUGGAAAGUUGGAUGUGAAAGCUCCUGGCUCAACUGGGAGAGGUCGUUCAAAACUUCCAGACUUGAGAGUGGUAGAGGGAGGUGGAAUUCCGGGUGUAGUGGUGAAAUGCGUAGAUAUCCGGAGGAACACCAGUGGCGAAAGCGGCCUCCUGGACCACUUCUGACGCUCAGACGCGAAAGCUAGGGUAGCAAACGG
This 403-nucleotide ribosomal RNA is filed under the name uncultured bacterium. Its description in RNAcentral is "bacterial SSU rRNA". It matches the Rfam family "Bacterial small subunit ribosomal RNA", at positions 354 to 775 of the family's 1533-position model. The record is from RNAcentral.